This is a non-coding RNA of Pelobates cultripes (western spadefoot toad), 487 nucleotides long. Lineage: Eukaryota; Metazoa; Chordata; Amphibia; Anura; Pelobatidae. The record is from the annotation of a GenBank genome assembly.
GUAUUGGCUGGUCCCAAGGGAAUAAAGGUUUUGACAGUUCUUCUUGAUCCCUCUAAAUGUAGCCUUGUCUCGUUAUUGGAGGGAGCUGUUAUAAUCACACUGGGGAUUGCUAUGCUCUGCAUGCUCCCCUGAGCUUGAGUCACUUAGCUCUUUUAAGAGCUUGUUCCUGACACGCUCUCCUUGGAGGAGGGGUCUUCAUCACACAGUCCUGGAUGCUGGAGGUUCAUACAGGGUGGAAGGAAGAGUUCUUUCCCACACAGUCCUGGAGAACAGAAGCUGAUCCAGGGUGGAAGGAAGACGGCGAGACUCCAGUCAAGAUACGGCGCUUGCGGAGUCUGCGGUGGUUGUGGUGUCUGCUGCAGCGCUUGGAGUCCUCAGGAAGCGCUAGGAGCAUCCAUCAACGGAGGGUACUCGGUCGGAGUACAGGGAGCUCCGUUACAACACUUUUCCAGUCAUUAUGCGACCUAUUAGACUCCAAACCUUUCCA